AUGGGGAACCGGGUCGGGGGGCGGCGGCGGCGGUCGCCGGUGGACGAGCGCUACACGGCGCCGCAGGGGCUCUACCCGCACCCGGACAUCGACCUCAAGAAGCUGCGCCGCCUCAUCCUCGAGGCCAAGCUCGCGCCCUGCCACCCGGGCGCCGACGACCCCAGGCCAGACCUCGACGAGUGCCCAAUCUGCUUCCUGGUCAGUCCGUUUAUCACCCCUUUCCCAAUCUCUGCUCAGCUUCUUCUUCUUCCGCUAUCCACUUGGAUCCAUCAUAGAUGCAGAAUUCUGACUCGAGCUUCUCCCCCCCUCCCGCGCCUGCAGUUUUAUCCAAGCCUCAACCGCUCCAAGUGCUGCGCCAAGGGGAUUUGCACCGAGUGCUUCCUCCAGAUGAAGUCUCCCACCUCCUGCCGGCCAACACAGUGUCCGUACUGCAAGAUGCUGAAUUACGCCGUGGAGUACCGCGGCGUCAAGACCAAGGAGGAGAAGGGCGUCGAGCAGAUUGAGGAGCAGAGGGUGAUUGAGGCGCAGAUCAGGAUGCGGCAUCAGGAGCUCCAGGACGACGCUGAGCGGCUCAAGAACAAGCAGGUUGCUGCUUCGACCGAUGAAGUAACAAUCGCACAAGUCGAACCUUGUGAUACUGGUGGCACAUCCACCCCAGCUGCAAGCGGUGCCCAAGGCAAUGAUGCCGUCUCAGGUCAAGUACAGCAUUCGGAGCUGCUAUUGAAGAAUGCUGAACGCUUGAGGCAGUUGCGGGAUAAUAAUUUCGACAUGGAUCUUGAAGAAGUUAUGCUUAUGGAAGCGAUUUGGCUUUCUGUACAAGAUCAGGAAGCCUUAGGAAAUCCAGGGAGCAUAGGUGCCGUGCCACCAACACUUCCUCCAAGAUGCUACGAUGCAUCCGGGGCCGCUUCAGCAGAAGCAGCUCCACCCGGUGGAUUCGCCUGCGCGGUCGCGGCUCUAGCGGAGCAACAACACAUGCUUGGAGACCCUUCCAGCGCUGCCACCUGCCAAACAUCAAGACACGACAUCCUCAGCAGGUCACAAAGGUCCUUCACAGAGGACCUGAGCAUAGCCGGGAGCAGUUCCUCGGCCACCAGGGUCGAGGAACCACCAAACGGCAGAACGCCGCAGUCAAGAGACGGCGCGGACUACUCCAACAACGACGGGUGGUCGGAGGCGGCCGAGGCCAGCACCAGCUGCGCCGGCUCCGACAUCACGGUAGAGGCCGGGGCCGCCAGUUUGGCGGCUGCUGCUUCGGACGUGUCUAGCAUCGGUUCGGGCAACGUGCCCGACAGCUUUGAGGAGCAGAUGAUGCUGGCCAUGGCGCUCUCGCUGGUCGACGCCCGGGGGGUCGGAGGCUCUCCUCCAGGGCUAGCUUGGCGGUAG
This 1383-nucleotide ribosomal RNA is filed under the name Triticum aestivum (bread wheat). Its description in RNAcentral is "partial small subunit ribosomal RNA". The record is from RNAcentral. Lineage: Eukaryota; Viridiplantae; Streptophyta; Magnoliopsida; Poales; Poaceae.